Long non-coding RNA from Phasianus colchicus (ring-necked pheasant), 1595 nucleotides. The record is from Ensembl. NCBI's taxonomy places the organism in Eukaryota, Metazoa, Chordata, Aves, Galliformes, Phasianidae.
AACAGGUUUAGGUGUUUUCAAAUCUCAGCUUUCAUAAGGCCCUGCAGCAGCAAAGGCAUAAUGCUGCACUUUUUUUUGCCUCCGUUUCAUGCUUAAAUUUUAUUUAGUGAAAGUCCCAGGAUACAAUCCAAGGAUAGCCUGAACAAUUCCCAUAGCUGUUUCUUUGACCUAACUGUUAUGAAGACCUUUGACAACUUCUAGUAUUCAACACUAGAAUUUUGCUGGUUAUAGAUGUCAGAUCCUUUAAGCUUCAAUUAUCCUUAGCUUUUCUCCCUCUCUUCCUCUCUUUUUCUCUUGAUGGGCUGAUGGUUUUGACACACAACUGACCACAGUGAAGUGUCUUUCUUUGACAGCUUGCUCAUGGUUGUUAUUUAUCUCCCCUCCUGUGCCUUUUAGCACCCCGGUUUCUUUGCCAGAUAUAAAGUGAACCUCAGGGAAAACAGAGUCGGAGCUGAGAGAAGCAGGAGAAGGAUUAAUCCCAGAGGAUACCAUGAUCAGCUGAGUUUUCAGUUUGAAGUUCUGGAGCUGGAGGGCUGCAUUCCCUGACGGACUAGAAAUAACUGCAGUAUUAUUAAAACUGCUCCAUCACUGGCUGUAAUGGGAGCGUCUGUAUUUUCUCCCUCGCCUGUAUCCCUGACAUGACAUAAUGCCUGCCCUCACCAAGACGCUAUAACACCGAGGUCAGAGGUGCAAGGCUUUGAUGGAAGGCUGCGCCAGUGUGUCCCACUGUCCAGUGCAGAUGUGGCAACCUAAGGCACUGCCCAUCUCUGCAGGUCCAAGUUUUUCCAUUACAAAUGUGUGAUACCCAAACACAAGCCAGAGAUCAACGUGGGUUGUAGAACUCUCAGCACUGCAAGAGGCCUCACUCACAUAGCAAUGGUCAGGAGCUGAAAUAUUUUGUGACUCUAAGACUUGGAAGACCCUCAUGGUCACAGAUGUCUGCUGAAUAACCUCAGCUUCUUCAGUUCACAGCUCUUAGCUGAGGCCAGCCAGUGUGAAGCAAGCUGUGCAAAAUCCUGGGAUGCCUCCUACCCUUCUGCCUCCCAUGCAGGCAAAUGGCUGUCGAGGUUCAAUCUGCCCAAGCAAACAGGGUGGCAAAGACAAGUGACCUACUUCUUGAGAAGCCCUGGUACUUCAGCAGCCUCGCUUUCCACCAGCCCUCCAGGAAUCACGUGCUAACCCCCUGAGGAAAGUACUGAAUUGCAACUCCCAUGUCAAAUCACCACUUCUAAAUGAAAUACUAAAAAGUUUAACCUGUCAUUUCAUUUUCAAGGCAUUGUUCCUUUUUUNNNNNNNNNNNNNNNNNNNNNUUUUUCUUUAGAUAUGAACAUAAAUUAUAGCCUGUUUGGUGGGGGAGGGGAAAGGGGGGGAAGCAUUUGAGUCUAAAACUAAAAUUGAGUUUUUGAUUUUGAAGCAUUGAUUUAAAAUAGAGGGGAGGAAUUCAUUUUAAAUCAAUUCAGAAUUUCUGGUGAGAACAUACUCAUUUUUCCCUUGUCUUCUUUCUCCUCUCCUCCCUCUCUCUGUUGUACUCUAGCAGGUAAAGCAAAAAUAACAGCAAGCAAGGACACACAUCAGUGAUGCCAAGGUUUUCAUUA